Molecule: ribosomal RNA, 406 nt
Filed under: uncultured bacterium
Lineage: Bacteria
Description: partial 16S ribosomal RNA
Rfam family: Bacterial small subunit ribosomal RNA
Source: RNAcentral
AUUGAACGCUGGCGGCAGACCUAACACAUGCAAGUCGAACGAGUGGCGGAAGGGUGAGUAAUGUAUGGGAAACUGCCAGAUGGAGGGGGAUAACUAAUGGAAACGGUAGCUAAUACCGCAUACCAUCGGAGGUGCCCAGAUGGGAUUAGCUUGUAGAUGAGGUAAAGGCUCACCUAGGCGACGAUCCCUAGCUGGUCUGAGAGGAGGACCAGCCACACUGGAAUGGAGAAACGGGCCAGCCUCCUACGGGAGGCAGCAGUGGGGAAUAUGUCAAACUGGGCGCAAGCCUGCUGCAGCCAGGCCGCGUGUAUGAAGAAUGCCUUCGGGUUGUAUAGUACUUUCAGCGGGGAGGCGUGACCCGCAGAAGAAGCACCGGCUAACUCCGUGCCAGCAGCCGCGGUAAUAC